GGCCCAGACUCCUACGGGAGGCAGCAGUGAGGAAUAUUGGUCAAUGGGCGGGAGCCUGGACCAGCCAAGUCGCGUGAGGGAAGAAGGUACUGAGUAUUGUAAACCUCUUUUGCCAGGGGACAAAGGCGGCCACGGGUGGCCGUAAGAGGGUACCUGGAGAAAAAGCAUCGGCUAACUCCGUGCCAGCAGCCGCGGUAAUACGGAGGAUGCGAGCGUUAUCCGGAUUUAUUGGGUUUAAAGGGUGCGCAGGCGGCGUGUCAAGUCAGCGGUAAAAUGUCGGGGCUCAACCCCGGCCGGCCGUUGAAACUGGCGAACUCGAGAGGGAGAGAAGUAGGCGGAAUGCGCAGUGUAGCGGUGAAAUGCAUAGAUAUUGCGCAGAACUCCGAUUGCGAAGGCAGCCUACCGGCUCCUGUCUGACGCUGAGGCACGAAAGCGUGGGUAUCGAACAGGAUUAGAUACCCCGGUAA
Molecule: ribosomal RNA, 467 nt
Filed under: uncultured bacterium
Lineage: Bacteria
Description: bacterial SSU rRNA
Rfam family: Bacterial small subunit ribosomal RNA
Source: RNAcentral